This 42-nucleotide transfer RNA is filed under the name Trichonephila clavata. RNAcentral describes it as "tRNA-Cys". Lineage: Eukaryota; Metazoa; Arthropoda; Arachnida; Araneae; Nephilidae. The record is from RNAcentral.
UUAUUAAAACAUUAAAUUGCAAAUUUAAAAUUAAUUAAUAAA